Molecule: non-coding RNA, 1618 nt
Organism: Meleagris gallopavo (turkey)
Lineage: Eukaryota; Metazoa; Chordata; Aves; Galliformes; Phasianidae
Source: Ensembl
CUUGCUCUUCCUCUAGCCCAACCACCCAUACCCCAUUAACCAUCAAAAACCUACUACCCAAAUCAAACUAAAACAUUCUAACCUACUCCUAGUAUAGGUGAUAGAAAAGACCUUAGGCGCAAUAGAGACCAACCGUACCGUAAGGGAAAGAUGAAAUAAUAGUGAAAACCAUAAGCAAAAAAUAGUAAAGACCAACCCUUGUACCUCUUGCAUCAUGAUUUAGCAAGAACAACCAAGCAAAGCGAACUAAAAGUUUGCCCUCCCGAAACCUAAGCGAGCUACCUACGAGCAGCUAAAAUUGAGCGAACCCAUCUCUGUCGCAAAAGAGUGGGAUGACUUGUUGGUAGAGGUGAAAAGCCAAUCGAGCUAGGUGAUAGCUGGUUACCUGCUAAAUGAAUUUAAGUUCCUCCUUAACCCAUUCACCAAGGACAUUCACCCAACCCUGCUCAUGUUAGGGUUAAGAGCAACUCGACGGGGGUACAGCCCCCUCGAAAAAGAAUACAACCUCCCCCAGCGGAUAAUAACACUUUCUCCACCUAUCGUAGGCCCUAAAGCAGCCAUCAACAAAAGAGUGCGUCAAAGCUCCACCAAUAAAAAUCUAGAACCCUAUUCGACUCCCUCACCUAAAGCAGGUUAACCUAUGAAAAUAGAAGAAUUUAUGCUAAAAUGAGUAACUAGGAACCCUCCUUCACACAGCGUAAACUUACAUUAAUAUAUUAUUAACAGAACUCAACUUAUAUACGCACUUCAACAAGACUUCAUAUUUAAGCCUAAACCUGUUAAGCCAACUCAGGGACGCUUACAUAAACGAUUAAAACUUACAGAAGGAACUCGGCAAAUUAAAGACCCGACUGUUUACCAAAAACAUAGCCUUCAGCGAACAACAAGUAUUGAAGGUGAUGCCUGCCCAGUGACCCCCAAAGUUCAACGGCCGCGGUAUCCUAACCGUGCGAAGGUAGCGCAAUCAAUUGUCUCAUAAAUUGAGACUUGUAUGAAUGGCUAAACGAGGUCUUAACUGUCUCCUGUGAGUAAUCAGUGAAAUUAGUGUUCUCGUGCAAAAACGAGAAUGUGAUCAUAAGACGAGAAGACCCUGUGGAACUUAAAAAUAACGACCACCCUUCCACCAACAACACCCACUGGACCCACCCACAUAAAACGCCUGGUCGACAUUUUUUGGUUGGGGCGACCUUGGAGAAAAACAAAUCCUCCAAACCCAUAGAUCACAAUUCUUCACCAAGACCAACGCAUCAAAGUACUAAUAGUAAUUUAGACCCAAUACAAUUGAUUAAUGAACCAAGCUACCCCAGGGAUAACAGCGCAAUCUCCUCCAAGAGCCCAUAUCGACAAGGAGGUUUACGACCUCGAUGUUGGAUCAGGACAACCUAAUGGUGCAGCCGCUAUUAAGGGUUCGUUUGUUCAACGAUUAACAGUCCUACGUGAUCUGAGUUCAGACCGGAGCAAUCCAGGUCAGUUUCUAUCUAUGAAUAAGAACUCCUCCUAGUACGAAAGGACCGGAGAAGUGGGGCCAAUACUACAAAGCACGCCCUAGCCUUAUAAGCAAUGAAUUCAACUCAAUUGCCAAAAGCCUUACACACACCUAACUCCUAGAAAAGGACCC